RNAcentral lists this ribosomal RNA (425 nucleotides) under uncultured bacterium. Its description in RNAcentral is "partial 16S ribosomal RNA". It matches the Rfam family "Bacterial small subunit ribosomal RNA", at positions 354 to 796 of the family's 1533-position model. The record is from RNAcentral.
GUGGGGAAUCUUGCGCAAUGGGCGAAAGCCUGACGCAGCCAUGCCGCGUGAAUGAUGAAGGUCUUAGGAUUGUAAAAUUCUUUCACCGGGGACGAUAAUGACGGUACCCGGAGAAGAAGCUCCGGCUAACUUCGUGCCAGCAGCCGCGGUAAUACGAAGGGGGCUAGCGUUGCUCGGAAUUACUGGGCGUAAAGGGCGCGUAGGCGGACAGCUUAGUCAGAGGUGAAAGCCCAGGGCUCAACCUUGGAAUUGCCUUUGAUACUGGGUGUCUUGAGUUUGGGAGAGGUGAGUGGAACUCCGAGUGUAGAGGUGAAAUUCGUAGAUAUUCGGAAGAACACCAGUGGCGAAGGCGACUCACUGGCCCAAUACUGACGCUGAGGCGCGAAAGCGUGGGGAGCAAACAGGAUUAGAUACCCUAGUAGUCC